GGAAGGGCCAGCCGAUGGGCGACGGCGCCCCGCUCGAACCGGGGUGAGCUUCACAGCCUUGGGGGUUCGACUCCCUCUCCUUCCGC
Molecule: transfer RNA, 86 nt
Filed under: Lignipirellula cremea
Lineage: Bacteria; Pseudomonadati; Planctomycetota; Planctomycetia; Pirellulales; Pirellulaceae
Description: Planctomycetes bacterium Pla85_3_4 tRNA-Ser
Rfam family: tRNA
About the family: Transfer RNA (tRNA) molecules are approximately 80 nucleotides in length. Their secondary structure includes four short double-helical elements and three loops (D, anti-codon, and T loops).
Source: RNAcentral